UACGUAGGGGCUAGCGUUAUCCGGAAUUACUGGGCGUAAAGGGCGCGCAGGUGGUUGAUUAAGUCUGAUGUGAAAGCCCACGGCUUAACCGUGGAGGGUCAUUGGAAACUGGUCGACUUGAGUGCAGAAGAGGGAAGUGGAAUUCCAUGUGUAGCGGUGAAAUGCGUAGAGAUAUGGAGGAACACCAGUGGCGAAGGCGGCUUCCUGGUCUGUAACUGACACUGAGGCGCGAAAGCGUGGGGAGCAAACAGGAUUAGAUACCCUGGUA
Molecule: ribosomal RNA, 268 nt
Filed under: uncultured prokaryote
Description: partial 16S ribosomal RNA
Rfam family: Bacterial small subunit ribosomal RNA
Source: RNAcentral